Molecule: non-coding RNA, 92 nt
Organism: Triticum aestivum (bread wheat)
Lineage: Eukaryota; Viridiplantae; Streptophyta; Magnoliopsida; Poales; Poaceae
Source: Rfam
AAAACUAGUCAGUCUUUUGGGUGUGAAACCCAUUUGGGCGAGAGUAGUACUAGGAUAGGUGACCUCCUGGGAAGUCCUCGUGAAAGGGUUUC